UAAGGAAUAUUGGUCAAUGGAGGAAACUCUGAACCAGCCAUGCCGCGUGGAGGAUGAAGGUCCUCUGGAUUGUAAACUUCUUUUAUAUGGGACGAAAAAAGGGCUUUCUAGCUCGACUGACGGUACCAUAUGAAUAAGCACCGGCUAACUCCGUGCCAGCAGCCGCGGUAAUACGGAGGGUGCAAGCGUUAUCCGGAUUCACUGGGUUUAAAGGGAGCGUAGGUGGGUUGCCAAGUCCGAGGUGAAAUCUCCGAGCUUAACUCGGAAACUGCCUUGGAUACUGGUAGUCUUGAAUAUUGUGGAGGCUAGCGGAAUAUGUCAUGUAGCGGUGAAAUGCUUAGAUAUGACAUAGAACACCAAUUGCGAAGGCAGCUGGCUACACAUAUAUUGACACUGAGGCUCGAAAGCGUGGGGAUCAAACAG
RNAcentral lists this ribosomal RNA (423 nucleotides) under uncultured bacterium. Its description in RNAcentral is "bacterial SSU rRNA". It matches the Rfam family "Bacterial small subunit ribosomal RNA", at positions 355 to 775 of the family's 1533-position model. The record is from RNAcentral.